Long non-coding RNA from Spodoptera frugiperda (fall armyworm), 324 nucleotides. RefSeq lists it as uncharacterized. The transcript is spliced from 3 exons. The record is from RefSeq and is a predicted model, not a curated record. Lineage: Eukaryota; Metazoa; Arthropoda; Insecta; Lepidoptera; Noctuidae.
CCGUCUGGGUCCUGUAUGUGUGCGUGCGACGCUAGUUUACAUGUGUGCAGACCAAGCGUUGUGUCUACACUACACAUCCCUACAGUACAGACGCCGCGCCGCGCACAUCUAGCCAGUCUCGUUACGGACCAUGCGCGGUACAGACGUGUGUCGUAAUUUCACAAAUAUUAAAGUAAUUGUUGAGUAAAAAGAUCCAGAAUUUUAGAUCUCCCUGCCUCGUCCGAGAUGACCUCGAGAAUCUUCCACAAAAGCGGUAUCAGGGAGGCGCGGAGUGUAAUUAAAGUUGCUGCAGUGCUGACUGUAUACCUCACGGGUGGCCGGUAG